Molecule: long non-coding RNA, 936 nt
Filed under: Chrysemys picta bellii (western painted turtle)
Lineage: Eukaryota; Metazoa; Chordata; Testudines; Emydidae
Description: lncRNA (ENSCPBG00000006967.1)
Source: RNAcentral
AUGUUAAUGAUCUUUGUUCUGGGAUGGUAUUCAGUGAAGCAUGUUAUACAAUGGAUUAUCAUUUUAAUACAGACUUCCGUUAUCUGUUUAAAUCUUGUUCUAAUUGUUUUUAGUUCUUAUAGUGAAGAUGAGCAUAAUUGUGUGCCAACUUCAUACAUACUUCCACAGACCUCAUCACAGUACUUAGGAUACGAGUUUUGCAAAAAUAGGGGAGACAUAACUGUGGUGGAUCUGCAGAAGAGAGGACUAGAUUCUUGGAACCCAAGUCCACUGAAGAUGCCAGCCAUUCAUGAUGGAGGUGGAGAGAUAGGAGCUUUGAGAUCCAAGAAGAAUAACCACAUUUCCAGCAUAUGUUCACUUCCAGCGGGACCCAGAUACAAGUUUGAGGCUACUUGGCACUCAGAGGGCUUUAUGAAGUGUUUUGUAGCUGUAGACUUCACAGAAUCUUCCCACUAUCCACAUUUUGCACAUGGGGAAACUGCGACAGAGGCUGUGACUGUCAGAGCUGGGAUUAGAACUGAAGUUACUGGUUGCUAAUCUUGUGCUCCAGGAGUAGAAUACUGGUCUCUAAACAGUAUGAUGAGAUCAGAGAAAAGAUUACGCGAAUGAACCCACUGACCUCCAGUGUCACUACAUUUGAGGAGGAAAAUAACUACCAACAAGUACAUGAAACAUCUGUGUUGUAACUUUUUCAUUAGAAGACUAUCUCUGAAAAGUGCUACUUCUAAACUCACUUGACCAUAUUAGCCACUUAAACUUUGUUAUGCUGAAAUAUCGAUCUAGCAAGUACUGUUUUUAGGUUAGUUUGGUUCCAAACCACAAUUGUAUUUAUACUGCUUGGAAGGGUUAGUAGGUAGCAAAUUAAUCUGUCAACAGUAUCCUGUGUAAUAGUUUAAUAUUUGUAAUGAUACUGAAAUAAAAAUGUCUCCAGAUACA